This 3510-nucleotide long non-coding RNA is filed under the name Triticum aestivum (bread wheat). RNAcentral's name for it is "long non-coding RNA (TAES_LNC019709)". The record is from RNAcentral. Lineage: Eukaryota; Viridiplantae; Streptophyta; Magnoliopsida; Poales; Poaceae.
AAACAUUCACAUGUAAUAGGAGGAAAACAUCAUCGAGAUUGACAUCGGCAUGAGAAAUAAGGCAGCAUUCAAUUUAGUGCGUUCAUGAGACCACAAAAGGUAACCACUUGAUAUUAAGCUCGGUACUAAGAGCGUGAAUAUGAGAGAGGAAGUACCAAGAGCAGGAACACAAUAUAAAUAAAUAAAAACUACGUAGCCAUAGCUUCUUGGGCAUACUACUUAGUUGCUUCAUUCGGCUGCCUUCUCGAUCAACUUCAUAGAUGGCACGUCAAUUAACCUGAUGCAGGCAAUGUGUUCGAUAUAUUGCAUAGACCAAUUUAUGUGGAGACAAAAAAUGCACUUGCAUUUUUGUACCUUAGCCUUUUAAAGCUUAUAACCAGGGAGUGAUGGUUCCCCUUUUCAAUUUUGAAAGCAAAGACACAUAUGAUACUCUCUGAUCCCUGCCGCUUUGACAGAGCUUGACCAAUUGUUUGUUAUUGUUGGUCUCUUGUCCGUAUCCAGGUGCACUCAUCCAACCCGGUAAUACAACCAUUGAAGCAUUGCAUAUAAAACAUGGCAUUAUCUAUGAACUGACCCACUACUACAAUGCCUCUCAAUUAUGAUGUGGACUUAAUCAAAGUGGUGCUACUUGCCCAACCCCAACUCCCACAGAAUCCCGUUUUUCCUAACCCGGUAAUAGAAAAAAAUAGGUAUCUCAGGAUGGAAAUGUAGGGACUAUCUCAGGAUAGAAAUGUAUCAAGGAAUUAAUGAACUAAGUUCAAUGAUCAAACCUCUGAUAUAAAUAUUUCAAUUAACAUCUGAUAUUACUCAGUAUAUCUCAGGAUGGAAAUAUAUCUGAGUAGGUGAUGGUAGAUACUCACAGUAGUAAUCACCCCGUAAAAUAUAUCUAAAAAGAUGACCCUAUAUAUGCAUGCCAUCGACGCAUUUGUUAUUAAAUAUGACGUGAAAUACCUUGCUUUGGUAUGAUAGAAACCAAAAGAUAAAUAUCAUGCAUUUAUUUGUUUGGCCAGACCUUUUGCCCAAAGAAACUGAAUCUCUCAUCACAACAAAGUUCAAGUAAACUGCAAAUUUGCACUACGAUGGGCGAGUGGAUAAGAGACAGAGAACUAUAGCAGCACAAUAAGCCUCUGAAGCAAAGAAGGAGGCUCAGUGAUGACAUUGACAGCCUUGUCAUACAACGACAAAAAUGGCUUGAGCUGUUCAAAAAAAAUGAUGAAAUCAAAAUGGGGGAGUAAUUUAUUUAGGCAAACACUGAAUCAAAAUCUUAGUGGUUGGUUUACCGACAACCAGUAUAUGAGGUAUGUUUAUUAUUUAUGGGACUUGUCCAUUUAAGCCUUAAUAUCCCAAUUACGGAUAUUUUGGUAAUUUAUAUGACGCACUGUAAAAAUAUUAAGCACUCACAAUUGAUUAUUUCCUAAUUGGUCACCUAAACACCCUUUAAUAUACUGUGACAAGUAAUGUUAUAAGUCAUCAAGCUCUUUAUGAUAUUUUCUACUUCAGAUUCCAAGUCGCAUUAAAUGAGUGCACAAAAGAGAAUAUAAAAAUAAAAAGGCUCAAGGUACUUCUGACAGAACUCAUCUCAGUGUUAUUUUGGUAUAUAGCUUAAGCCCUGGAUCAACUAAGCUAGCAUGGUAGAUUUUUCUUCUUAAUGAAAGCACAUAUAUGUAAGAGCAUGCAGAAAGGGUCAAAGAGCUAGAAUCCUAUAAAAUACAGAAUCCAUCUUUCGACACAGGGAACAAUUAUAUUUAUAUUUGAUACAGAACAUGCACUUGUGAAUUGGCAGGUAAUAUGAAGGUCAUGUAUGGGAAUUUUACCUUCGCUUUCAGUGACACAUAUCAGAUCAUCUUCCCCUCGACCCUUUCAUGAUGUGGUUGCUGCCGGUGCUCUAGGAAUAACAAAGUUGUUUUAAUAGUAAUUUUGGAAAACACAUGGUGAUUGGGAAAAGCAAAGUUUAAAUCACAUAACAGAUCAAGUUCAAUUAAUAUGGUGUCAUAAUCAGAAACUUUCUAUACUACCAUAUAAGCAUCUUUGAAAGAUCAAAAGAUCAAGAACAACUUAUAUGCAAUAAAGGUACGAGAGAGAAGAAAUCUUUACAUAAGACGGCUAUAAACACUGGAGCAUAAAUAAGCAACACCUUUAAAUACAAAUAAAAAGGGUUCAGGGUUCAAUGCAUAGUGGGCUCAGAUUCGCCUUUCCUCGAUCAUAUAACCUACCCCCGUCAUCUCUUAUCACCAGAUCAAUCUGUUUAUACAGUUGAGCUGCCCUGGUUAUCACUCAACAAGAUUGACCAUCCAAGGGCAGAACAGUAAGUAUCACAGGAUGAAAAGGAUUCUAGAGACAACCGCUCACCUCCUCCAUGGUGCUCGGCAGAGGGAGCCAAUAUGGCACUGCAGAUUUUCAAGUUACCAAGGCCAUCAGGAAGAGACAAAUGUAUGUGGUUGAAUAAUAAAAAAAUAACAAAGAACGUUGCCAUUGGGACUGAGCCGACCUACUGGUGCUACUUCUCACCAUGGUACACAAGGCAGCCAGCCCUGGCAUCUACGGAAAUGAAAGGAAAGUGCAAAAAAAGUAAGAACAUAGAAAAGCCAGAAAAGUAAGAACAAAGUGUGACUGAUAUCUACUUAUCCCAGGUUAACAAUUUGGGUUCGAUGAAAGUGUGAGUGUAUGCUCUCGGUUUCUUCUAGAUUAAUAGAAUGGACAUGACAAACAAGACACUGGCAUAUUUUUCAAAUGACUACUAAUAUUGAGUACUGCAUUAGAUACUUUCAGAUUAUGCUAAGAGACCAGACCAUGUACAACUACCUGGCUAAUGACGAUUGCCUACCUUCAUAAUUGCCUAUUGCCUUGAGCUCACACCAAGAUUAGUACCUGCAAAUAACACAUAGACAAUUUAGUGUCAAGGCAAAGACAAAGAAAAGAAAAAUGAAAUAAGGGAAUAUAAAUACUCAUUAUGUAACAAAACCUAAUAACCAGUUGUAGAUGCUAAAAAACUGUUUGUCUAAGUGUUCAAACUGAGGACUUUUGAAGGUCACCUGCUCUGAUAGGUAAAGGCGCUGACGAUUCUUAUAGGUAGUCUGCUCACACAGAAGACCCCACCUGUUUCCAAUCAAACCAAUAGAUCAACAAAUAAUUAGUUGCAAAACCACUAUUGAAGGCAAAACUGAACCACUAUUUAAGUCAAAACUACUGCAAAACCAAACCAGCAUGCUUUCAAACAGAAUGCCACCACUCUGGAACAUUAUUAGCUUCAAAGUACCCGGUGGUGAGUAAGAAUGCACCAGAGCCGAUGCUCAAAAAAGAAUAUCAUCAAAUCAUGCGGGGCGGUCUUAAACUCUACUCCAUGGUAGACAAACAUCAAGUGAUUGAAAUGCAGCAGAGUCCCUGCAGUACUUACCUAGCUAGCUGAGAGCGAGUGAUGCCCAGGCUGCAUCAUCGAUGAGACAAGAGGUGCGCCUUGACCUGGUGCUGUACCCCAGGGUUGAGAGCUCAAGAAGGAACAGAUGUUGGUUG